GACGAACCGAGCGAACGUUGUUCGGAAUCACUGGGCUUAAAGGGCGCGUAGGCGGGCCGCCGCGUCCGGGGUGAAAUCCUCCCGCUCAACGGGAGAACGGCCUCGGAUACGGGCGGCCUGGAGGGGGGUAUGGGCGUGCGGAACUGUGGGUGGAGCGGUGAAAUGCGUUGAUAUCCACAGGAACUCCGGUGGCGAAGGCGGCACUCUGGGCCGGUACUGACGCUGAGGAGCGAAAGCGUGGGGAGCGAACAGG
Molecule: ribosomal RNA, 253 nt
Filed under: uncultured bacterium
Lineage: Bacteria
Description: partial 16S ribosomal RNA
Rfam family: Bacterial small subunit ribosomal RNA
Source: RNAcentral